RNAcentral lists this ribosomal RNA (253 nucleotides) under uncultured bacterium. RNAcentral describes it as "partial 16S ribosomal RNA". It matches the Rfam family "Bacterial small subunit ribosomal RNA", at positions 524 to 776 of the family's 1533-position model. The record is from RNAcentral.
UACGAAGGGUGCAAGCGUUACUCGGAAUUACUGGGCGUAAAGCGUGCGUAGGCGGUUCGUUAAGUCUGACGUGAAAUCCCCGGGCUCAACCUGGGACGUGCGUUGGAAACUGGCGAUCUAGAGUACGGUAGAGGGUGGUGGAAUUCCCGGUGUAGCAGUGAAAUGCGUAGAGAUCGGGAGGAACACUCGUGGCGAAGGUGGCCACCUGGACCAGUACUGACGCUGAGGCACGAAAGCGUGGGGAGCAAACAGG